CUUAAGGCGCGCGUCUCUCUCGCCAUCCACCACUCAGAUCGUCCUCUUCCUUUCGGCUCUCCGGCGCAGGUGAGUGCAGAUGGUAUCGGAUUUCAAAAUAUCAAGAUGUCUCUGCUAAGUGUCACCUUGACUAUGACAGUUUCGGCCCUUGUGUUUCUUCAUCAGUAUGAGUGCCAGAUAUAUGUGACUACUCAAAACGAAGAUCCUAAUCACCCGGGGAAGUGCGUGUACAAGAACCAGCCUCAUGACGUGGGCUCCGAGUGGACAGAGCCUGGAUGCCAACGAGGAUCUUGUCACAAGAACCAAGAUGGGAAAUAUAAUCUCGCCGUAGCCGGAUGCGGCUUGAUAGGGCUGCCACCCGGUUGCACUGCAGUGUCCAACGACACGCUGCCGUACCCAGACUGCUGUCCUAAGCCCAAGUGCAAUUUCUAGCCUCCACAUCUAUUGGCAGAGGAUGGAUAUGUCUAUGAUUAUGAAGAAUUACAGUGAAAUUUCAUUAAUAAAAACCCUAAUCAUUCAAAA
Molecule: long non-coding RNA, 522 nt
Organism: Bacillus rossius redtenbacheri
Lineage: Eukaryota; Metazoa; Arthropoda; Insecta; Phasmatodea; Bacillidae
Exons: 4
Source: RefSeq, a predicted model, not a curated record